This 464-nucleotide ribosomal RNA is filed under the name Vreelandella stevensii. RNAcentral's name for it is "partial 16S ribosomal RNA". It matches the Rfam family "Bacterial small subunit ribosomal RNA", at positions 338 to 795 of the family's 1533-position model. The record is from RNAcentral. Lineage: Bacteria; Pseudomonadati; Pseudomonadota; Gammaproteobacteria; Oceanospirillales; Halomonadaceae.
ACUACGGGUGGCAGCAGUGGGGAAUAUUGGACAAUGGGCGAAAGCCUGAUCCAGCCAUGCCGCGUGUGUGAAGAAGGCCUUCGGGUUGUAAAGCACUUUCAGUGGGGAAGAAAGCCUUGGGGCUAAUACCCUCGAGGAAGGACAUCACCCACAGAAGAAGCACCGGCUAACUCCGUGCCAGCAGCCGCGGUAAUACGGAGGGUGCGAGCGUUAAUCGGAAUUACUGGGCGUAAAGCGCGCGUAGGCGGUCUGAUAAGCCGGUUGUGAAAGCCCCGGGCUCAACCUGGGAACGGCAUCCGGAACUGUCAGGCUAGAGUGCAGGAGAGGAAGGUAGAAUUCCCGGUGUAGCGGUGAAAUGCGUAGAGAUCGGGAGGAAUACCAGUGGCGAAGGCGGCCUUCUGGACUGACACUGACGCUGAGGUGCGAAAGCGUGGGUAGCAAACAGGAUUAGAUACCCUAGAGUC